RNAcentral lists this ribosomal RNA (301 nucleotides) under uncultured bacterium. Its description in RNAcentral is "partial 16S ribosomal RNA". It matches the Rfam family "Bacterial small subunit ribosomal RNA", at positions 509 to 809 of the family's 1533-position model. The record is from RNAcentral.
CAGCCGCCGCGGGAAUACGAGGGGGGCAAGCGUUGUUCGGAAUUAUUGGGCGUAAAGGGUGCGUAGGCGGCUUGAUAAGUCUUGUGUGAAAUCUAUGGGCUCAACCCAUAGUCUGCACAGGAAACUGUCGGGCUUGAGAGUGGGAGAGGUGAGUGGAAUUUCCGGUGUAGCGGUGAAAUGCGUAGAUAUCGGAAGGAACACCUGUGGCGAAAGCGGCUCACUGGACCAUUUCUGACGCUGAUGCACGAAAGCUAGGGGAGCAAACAGGAUUAGAUACCCGCGUAGUCCCGUCUCUUAUACA